AGUGAACGCUGGCGGUAGGCCUAACACAUGCAAGUCGAACGGCAGCACAGUAAGAGCUUGCUCUUACGGGUGGCGAGUGGCGGACGGGUGAGGAAUACAUCGGAAUCUACUUUUUCGUGGGGGAUAACGUAGGGAAACUUACGCUAAUACCGCAUACGACCUACGGGUGAAAGCAGGGGAUCUUCGGACCUUGCGCGAUUGAAUGAGCCGAUGUCGGAUUAGCUAGUUAGCGGGGUAAAGGCCCACCAAGGCGACGAUCCGUAGCUGGUCUGAGAGGAUGAUCAGCCACACUGGAACUGAGACACGGUCCAGACUCCUACGGGAGGCAGCAGUGGGGAAUAUUGGACAAUGGGCGCAAGCCUGAUCCAGCCAUACCGCGUGGGUGAAGAAGGCCUUCGGGUUGUAAAGCCCUUUUGUUGGGAAAGAAAAGCAGCAGGUUAAUACCCCGCUGUUCUGACGGUACCCAAAGAAUAAGCACCGGCUAACUUCGU
This 491-nucleotide ribosomal RNA is filed under the name uncultured bacterium. RNAcentral's name for it is "partial 16S ribosomal RNA". It matches the Rfam family "Bacterial small subunit ribosomal RNA", at positions 29 to 506 of the family's 1533-position model. The record is from RNAcentral.